This 626-nucleotide ribosomal RNA is filed under the name uncultured bacterium. RNAcentral's name for it is "bacterial SSU rRNA". It matches the Rfam family "Bacterial small subunit ribosomal RNA", at positions 60 to 688 of the family's 1533-position model. The record is from RNAcentral.
AGUCGAACGGUAACAGGUUAAGCUGACGAGUGGCGAACGGGUGAGUAAUAUAUCGGAACGUGCCCAGUCGUGGGGGAUAACUGCUCGAAAGAGCAGCUAAUACCGCAUACGACCUGAGGGUGAAAGCGGGGGAUCGCAAGACCUCGCGCGAUUGGAGCGGCCGAUAUCAGAUUAGGUAGUUGGUGGGGUAAAAGCCUACCAAGCCAACGAUCUGUAGCUGGUCUGAGAGGACGACCAGCCACACUGGGACUGAGACACGGCCCAGACUCCUACGGGAGGCAGCAGUGGGGAAUUUUGGACAAUGGGCGCAAGCCUGAUCCAGCCAUGCCGCGUGCGGGAAGAAGGCCUUCGGGUUGUAAACCGCUUUUGUCAGGGAAGAAAAGGUUCUGGUUAAUACCUGGGACUCAUGACGGUACCUGAAGAAUAAGCACCGGCUAACUACGUGCCAGCAGCCGCGGUAAUACGUAGGGUGCAAGCGUUAAUCGGAAUUACUGGGCGUAAAGCGUGCGCAGGCGGUUAUGCAAGACAGAGGUGAAAUCCCCGGGCUCAACCUGGGAACUGCCUUUGUGACUGCAUAGCUAGAGUACGGUAGAGGGGGAUGGAAUUCCGCGUGUAGCAGUGAAAUG